Molecule: small nuclear RNA, 107 nt
Organism: Vulpes vulpes (red fox)
Lineage: Eukaryota; Metazoa; Chordata; Mammalia; Carnivora; Canidae
Source: Ensembl
GUGCUGACUUUGGCAAUACAUAUAUUAAAAUUGGAACAAUACAGAGAUGAUUAGCAUGGGCCCUAUGCGAGGAUGACACACAACUCUGUUAAACAUUCUAUAUUUAU